UAUAAAUAAAGGGAGAGAAUUUUUUUAAAAAAAAAUGUAAAGUGUGGGAGAGAGAGUGAGAGAAAUAAAGUGAGAAUUUUUUUAAAAAAGAAGUGAAUGUGAAAGAGAGAAUGAGAGAGAGAAACAAAAAAAAAAAAAAAAAAAAAAAAAAAAAAAAGUGGGACCCACAGGGCCCCAAACCCGAGGAAUUCUACACUGUCACACUUGCACCACGUCAUCAAUAACAAGCCAAUUACAUUCCUUCUUUUUAAAUAAAAGUACAAUAAAAAUAGUUUUUUAUAAUUAUGAUGGGACAUAUAUUCUUAAAAGGAUUAAUUUGAUUGGUUUGUUACGCCACGUCACUAAUAUACCCGUUGCAUUCUAGAAUUUUUCCCCAAACCC
Molecule: long non-coding RNA, 381 nt
Filed under: Ananas comosus (pineapple)
Lineage: Eukaryota; Viridiplantae; Streptophyta; Magnoliopsida; Poales; Bromeliaceae
Description: long non-coding RNA (ACOM_LNC021962)
Source: RNAcentral